This 4409-nucleotide long non-coding RNA is filed under the name Rhipicephalus microplus (southern cattle tick). Its description in RNAcentral is "uncharacterized LOC119163092". The record is from RNAcentral. Lineage: Eukaryota; Metazoa; Arthropoda; Arachnida; Ixodida; Ixodidae.
ACGCACGACCUUUAUUUCGACGGUAAACGUUGCAGAUUGAUAACUGCGGAAACUUCACGUCAUUUCUUGCUGACUUUUUGUGGUUUUGAUGACUGGCGCCUCGAGCUCUUCUCCUGGUCACUCCUCGAUAAUGCGUCUUCGUUGUCGUUGUACGUGACGCCAGUCAUCUGUCAGCGAAGAAUCGUGAUCGAAAGAAGUGCUGCUACUUGUGUCAUUGACCUAAUCAUCUGGAUGUUUAAGGCUCGACCAGCCUCUUUGCGGAAGUGUCACCAGCGUCCUUUUGUUACUCAUCGUUGUCAGGUUCUGCCAUUUCCUCCCGGUCUUGGUCACUCCAGCAGAAGCCAGUCUUCUUGUGUUUCGCUAGUUCCUACGCGCCGUGCGUACUAGCUACUGUGCGUCAGUAGAGCUGGCGUUGAAAGCGCCGGUGAAACUCUCCUCGGCUCUAGCGCCGGCUGCGUCAAGCUGUCCGUUCAGACGGAACAAUAACAAGCGCUUAAAGGGGUCUUCGAACGCUUCUUAAGCAUGAGGUUUCCGGUUCUUUUAUGAAGCCUUCAAGGAAUCGGAUUCAUUGGACAUUGCUGGACAUGAAUCUCGAAUGCCUGUGCAUUGGAACCAUUCAGCUGCAUGACUGUUAUGAAUUCCACAAUGAGAUGCUAACGUGGCCAUGUUCAUUGACUCUGGCCUUUGAUGGGUAUUGCUGGAAAAUUCACAUUGAAGAUUUGCUUUUCCACUCGUUAGUCUACGAAUUUGUAAAGAAAAGAGUUGGCAUUAUUACAGCACUUGAUGAAGCUCUUGUUUGGUCUAGUUGUUGCACUCAUGAAUUCAGUAUGGCUGUGUGAUAAAACAUGUACAAAGAGCAAGCAGUACACCAAAUGAGCUCAAUUAUUGUGCCUGUCCUGUCUACUUGUCUUUCUUAAUGUCUGUCUUUGUGCACUGUCUACAGUGUUUAAGUUUAAAAUGUCAGCAUUAAUGGACUGUUCCUGUGUUUUCAACGUAUUAUUGGGGGCUGGGUAGUUGGUCGUGCAUACUCUUGUCUUUUUAGGAGUGUUUAGCAGUGCACAUGUUCAUGAGGUGCAGGUGAGAGAAAAACAUUUUGGUGUAAAUUACCUGAGCACCUUGGAAUGGAAUUAUGAUUUUGCUCUGCAGUAUGUUAACAGUAAUGAUUUUAAAAUAAGUUCACAGUGGAAGUCUUGGUCUCCUUCACUAUUCAUUAGUCAUUGUUAUCUGUUGUCUAUGUAGUCCUGCAUCAUGCUUUCAAGUCAGCAGAAUGUCAUAAGUGACAUAGACCAAGUAAAUGUAUUUUCUCUCUACUGUGACACUGUCAGGGGAACUUAAAUGCACCCAAAUACUAUUUUGUUUUUAUAUUUUUAAUAUUUUUUGGCUCAUUUUGAUCAUGUCCUUUCAUUGAUCUAUGCACUGAUGCAUUUUAUGUGCUCAUGGCAUGAGGCUUCAUGUUUAAAUUCUUUGUAUUGUUUUGUUAAGUUGGUGUGCAAAUUAACACAGGAAUACAUUUAGGUAACAUAACAGAUAAUUUACAAGUGUGGCUUUCCAGUAUAACUGGCCUAUUUAUUUGGAAUAAUUAGUUUUAUGUAGUCAUGAAGGGCCCCUGAACCACCCAGAGGUUAGAAUUUAGUUUUAAUGUUGCAGUUGUGUGCGAGUCUACAACGAACAUGUAGCUUUGAAACUUCUUUGAAAAAGUGCCGUAAUAGCGGAUUGCAAUGUGUUUGCUGGUCCAAAAGAAGCCCUUGCUCGUUUCGUUCUUUUCUUCACUCUGCUUCGUUGAUCGGCUCGUCUGUCCUUCUGGUUGUGCCAGAAGGAAAAGCGGCGAGUGCAUGUACCCCUGCAAGCAGGCAAACAGGUCUCGCAGAUGAUGAGCAGACUUGUAGUUGACAUCACGGCGAAUACUUCAUGGGCUAUUCCCUGCUGAAAUGCGUGGUGAGGAGGAGAGACUGUUUCUUAAUAUUUGCGGGGCACCUGUGGCUCAUAGCGUUGUGUCUUUUGGCACUGUUGAUUGUGACGGCAUUCUGAACUCAAUGCGUGCGUUCACUUGAAAUGUUAAAAAAUCAUUGGAAGUGACUUGAGAGCCCUUGGGGAAGGGAUGUGGCAAUGGAAAUGUUAAAUUCGGUCCAUAUGAUCCAUUUUUCAGUUUAUAUUUAUUUGCAAUCCUUGGACCAUCUCUUAUGUCAUGGUGAAAUAGAGCGAAGUAAGCAGUCAGUGUUAAGAAACACUUAAAUAGCAUGUUGUGAUCAAUAACCAUAUGAAAAUUCUGCUUUGUAAAGUGAAAAUCUUGCAGAUUUUCCUUGUCUCAGUGCCGCCAUCCUGGCAUCAUUGUCGAGAGGACAGAUUGUAGCUCGAAGUACCCACACUUUUGCAUUUCUCCUGUGAACAAUAGAACAAGUUUGCUUCGCAGUUCUUUUUUUUUUUUUAACUCCAUUUUUUUCAAGCUUCAUGUUAUCAGCUUCCAUAUUUUUUUUAUGCAGUUGCUGUCAAUCAUCCAUGUGCCAUUUUACAUCAAAUAGAUAUAUGACCCUUUGAUUUUUGCACUUAGAUCCUGACAUUCGAAAGGGUCAGCGCCGUGAAACCACUAGUAUUUGUCGGCACAUCAUACGGAUUUUUAUAAUUGGCUUUUUGUAAGAGUUGUUAGUAAGACUAUAUAAUAAAUUAUAGGGCAUUUAAAAGACUUUUGUGUGCUCAUUCAAAUAUUCGGAAAUGAUGAGUUCUACAGCACAGAUUGUGCCCUUGUGAAUAUUCUUAUGUAAAAGUUUAACAUUCGUUAACUAACAGUGGCAUGACAGAAACUGCAACAUAUAGCUUAAAACUAAUUUCAGUUAUAUCGUCAUAUAAAAUCAUAUAUACAUGCCAGAUUUCACCACUUUGUCUCCACACGUAAUGAAAAUAAUUUGUAUUAUUAUUUAACUCCUCAAAAGGGCCCUGCAAUGCUUUUUUAAUAAUCAUUUAAUGGCUUCAUCAAAACAAUACAUUGGCUCAUGAAUUCACUGCCACAAGACUUUUAGGAUUACGAGAAGAGUUACCGGGAUAUUUCGUCUCCUUACGUUUAAGCGAGAGUGCUGAAACUUGCGCAGGGAAGGGCUAAUAAAGAAGGAGGGACUAUUAAUGAGCUCACGAAGGUAUUCCAUUAUGUUUUUGAUUUUUGGUCUACAGUGCAGACUAGCAAGACACAGGACAGAGUCAACGGGAUUUUCAGCAUUUUUUCUGUUUACAUGACUUUACAUGAGCUGAUAACGGAGUUCUCUUAGAUUGAGAAGCUUAGAUCUUUAGACACGAAGCUUGUGUUCCUGUCAGAAUGUAUGUGCUGGAAAUGCGCUCCCUGUCUCGGAAAGGCCUGCUUCCUUUAAGUUCAGCCCACUCUAAGCUUGUGAAGUGGGGAAUACCCAAAGCAUGCAUGAUGGAAUCCCUGUCAAGGUCCUGCUUCACGAGGUUGAGAGCGAUUUCGACAACCAAAUUGACCGUCUUAACAGGUAUUUGCUCUCGGGCAUAACUGAGUUGCUGUUCAGUGAUUUGAAGCAGGGAAGGAGUUCGCGACACUCAGGUCGAGACGAGCCAAAGCUGAAAGUUUCUGCCAUGCGGUGUGUGCACAAGGUCUCGCACCGCUUGAAAAGAAUUGUGAAAAAAUAGCAGUGAGUAUUGUAACGAAAUAAGCUAGGGUCCUUUUGCAAGAGAGUGAAUUCUGAAAGCACUUCGAGAGUUGGGUGUAAUAACAAUCGUACAAAGAAAAUUUUUACAUUGUAGUAUUGGAGUUGUGUUCUGCAUUUUUUUUAUCAUGUGGUUGAUGAUACGUCGGCCAAAUGCGGUGUUGUCUGAAAGACUGCCUCAGGCAACACAUGCGGAGAUGUGUAAGUAGCCAUUGAGCAAUUCACAAUGCCAAGUCGGAGUACACCUCCAUGUUUCAUGAUUAAAUGGCAAGGUAUGGGGGAUAAGAGGGCACAUGAAAUAUAAGAAGGUUUUUUAUUUGCAAGGCAGGAACGGCGUGUGUGAGCGUCCCGUCUGUCAACUUGUUAGACAAUCAAUACUGGAAUCUUUUGAAGGGUCAUUUCAACAUGUCAAUAUGCUGUGUUGUGCACACGCUGUCGCUUUCUCUUUCUCAUUGUUAUUGCGUCGCCUUGCCCACCCAGUUGGCAAUAUAGGAUUUCUAGCAUUAGAGCAAUAAGCUGGUUGUAAGUGUGCACUCCGUCCUUUAUCAAUUUUUUCCUGAAAUCCUUUGUGCACAAAACAAGGAGCAUUUACAUGUUGGAGCUUUCAAAUUUGGCUCAAAUGUUCUCGGGAGGUUCAACUACUGACAUGCAGCAUUUUUGGACAUUGCUCGAAGUUUGCAGUAUCCCUUGAAGUUAAAUAUCUUCUCUUUUAUGUGGUAAUUUAAAUACUGAAACCUAAUAAAUGAAUAAGCUGCA